UAUGGGAGCGGGCUUGCUCGCGAUGCAGGCAACGCGUUGCAGCAGGUAGGACGCGGUGAAGCCAUCGCGAGCAAGCCCGCUCCCACA
This 87-nucleotide unclassified non-coding RNA is filed under the name Pseudomonas fragi. Lineage: Bacteria; Pseudomonadati; Pseudomonadota; Gammaproteobacteria; Pseudomonadales; Pseudomonadaceae. The record is from RNAcentral.